RNAcentral lists this ribosomal RNA (493 nucleotides) under uncultured bacterium. RNAcentral describes it as "bacterial SSU rRNA". It matches the Rfam family "Bacterial small subunit ribosomal RNA", at positions 38 to 507 of the family's 1533-position model. The record is from RNAcentral.
GGCGGCGUGCCUAACACAUGCAAGUCGUACGAGAAAGUCGGCUUCGGCUGAUGAGUAAAGUGGCGCACGGGUGAGUAACGCGUGGAUAAUCUGCCUUUUAGUUGGGAAUAACGUACCGAAAGGUGCGCUAAUACCGGAUAAUACUGCAUAACUACUGUUGUGUAGUCAAAGAAGGCCUCUGUUUACAAGCUUUUGCUGAAAGAUGAGUCCGCGUACCAUUAGCUAGUUGGUAGGGUAAUGGCCUACCAAGGCUACGAUGGUUAGCUGGUCUGAGAGGAUGAUCAGCCACACUGGAACUGAGACACGGUCCAGACUCCUACGGGAGGCAGCAGUGAGGAAUAUUGCGCAAUGGGGGAAACCCUGACGCAGCAACGCCGCGUGAGUGAGGAAGGCCUUCGGGUCGUAAAGCUCUGUCAGAUGGGAAGAAAUGGAUGGGGGCUAAUAUCGCCCAUCCUUGACGGUACCAUCAGAGGAAGCACCGGCUAACUCCGUG